Non-coding RNA from Paramuricea clavata, 3152 nucleotides. The record is from the annotation of a GenBank genome assembly. NCBI's taxonomy places the organism in Eukaryota, Metazoa, Cnidaria, Anthozoa, Malacalcyonacea, Plexauridae.
UAAGGUUUCAGAUUCCAUGAGACAGAGGACGCCUGGCGUUGAAUCUCAUCUAGACGAAACGUUAGCGGUAAGUCCAAUGCUUGUAAAACAAUAUGUUAUCGACUUCCACGUAUUUGACUUUUACUAUACCGUUACCGCGCUACAUCUCGCUGGCUUAAUACGCAUUUGAUUGGUUAAUCGGGUAGAUUAAACGCAUCUGAUUGGUGAACUUCAAAUUCUGCAGAACAAGGCUGCCAAGAAUAUUUUCCUUUUUCCUCGGCAACUGCUGUGUUGUCAGCCCUGAGGUGGUUCAAUUUAGAACGUCGCAGGACUUACCAUUGCUGCAUUUAUAUUUACAAGUGUGUUAACGAUCUCGUGGAACAUUCUUUGGACAUUGUCAGCAUAGUAGUCAGAUUCAUAACACCUGAAAUAAGGACACACUAAAGCCAGUUUUCCACUUCAAUCGUAUCGUACCGAAACGUAGCGUAUUUCUUUGUUUCCUGAGCGGUAGUGUGGAACUAAUAGACCUUUCCCCUUUUGCGUGAAAUUUUGAUCUAGACAAGUCUGGACAAAAAUUUCAUCACAGUUUGUUUGAAAGAGCAUCACAAAAUUAGUAAUAUUCCGAAGUUUCGUUGCGAAAUGUUGUAAAAUGCGGAUAAUAUAACCUUGCGAAGUUUGCCGUUUUUCAGUCAUUUUGCAUUACAAACGGGAAAUUGAUAAUCAGUUUGAUCAUCUGAUUAUCAAUUUCCCAUUUGUAACGUAAAAUGACUGGAAAACGGCAAACUUCGCAAGGCUAUAUUAUCCGCAUUUUACAACAUUUCGCAACGAAACUUCGCAAUAUUACUAAUUUUGUGAUGCUCUUUCAAGUUGUAAUGAAAUUUUUGUCCAGGCAUAUUUAGAUCAAAAUUUCACUCAUAAAGAGAAAGGUCUAUAGAGACCUUACGAUUUUUGACGGCAACGGCUACCAGUACAAUAAAUCAUUGAAAAGAAUUGAAUAAUUACAAUAUAUGAAUAAUUUAGACAUUGUCUUCGCUCUGUUUACAACGCCAAAUCACAGAUUUUCACAUCUUGAUACAACGGCUACAUUUCAAGCCGCAAAAAGUGCAAUUUCAAACUGGGUUCAGCAGAACUCUUCCCAAACAUAAGAUCCAUGUCUUCAACUUCUAAGACUGUAUUCAAUUCAUAUACGAUUGAUAAUAUACGACGAAUUAGGCUAUCUUUACUACCAUUUAUUUGAAGGAGUUUGUUUUGGCCGUCGUCGUCGCAUUGCCGUCCUAGAAUCGUAAGGUCUCUAAUGACUUCGACACAAAACACUACGGUACGUUACAACAGUUGAAGUGGAAAACAGGCUUAAGGCUAUACCUAAGGUUAAACGCAUGCAACUUUGGAAAACAACGCACAAAUUACCUAUCAAAGACUGGGAUAACCUGCACAGUGAAACACGGGAUGUUCACACAUUCAAUUCAAUUCAAGUUAUUAAAAAUAUAUGAAUUCGCACCAUGUUAUAUAUAGCAUUAGCUUAUAAAUAACGACUCUUAAAUGACAUUAUUCUCCAAACGUUUAACUUAGACUUAUUUGAAAAGAACCAAUUAUGAACCUUAAAAAACCCAAUUCUAAACAUUCUAUCCCAGAGGUCGCGGGUUCGAUUCCCACCGUGUUCAGGCAAAUUUUUCAGCUUACCCGGUGUGGAUGCACACUCAGAGUAACAUCACAAAGUAACAUCAUAUUCACCUGAGUACAUAACCGACCAACACACACAAGACUUUUAGGAUUUUUUAAGAGAACUGUAUUCUCCAAACGUAUUUGCUAUGUUUAUUGCAUGCUUUUAUACAUAAUUGUUUCUGUAUAAGUAGGACCUUUCUGAAAAUCACUUUCUGAAAGUCAAAUCUGAACCUCUCCAAUAUGUGUGAUGAAGGAAAUUCUGUGAAUUGGUUUAUCCACGGCCAGGCUUUUGAUAAAGUAUUUCGUUAUUUUUCUUCACAGAAAUUACAAGACCACAUGUUGACGUUAAUGGAUCAUCGAGCUAACCUUUCGUCUCAACACACGUGACAUCAAGAAAAAUAAAGCAAAACAAUACCUGGAUUUCCCGUUUCCCUACCUUACCUACACACGUAAAUACGCACAAGUUGUUACAGGUCUGUAAACAAGUUGUUACAAAUCUGUUCACAAGCUGUCAACAAGUUGUGUUCGCACUGCUUGUUCCUAGUUGUUGUAACACGCCUGGAACAAGCUGUUAACAACUUGUGAAAAGUUUAGUGGCAUUAUCAGACUUGUUACAAGGUUCUAACAAGUCUGAUACAGACAUGAUAUAACAAGAAUGUUACAAGGUUGACGCCAUAACGCAAUAUUAGACAGAUUUAGAUCAAGGACGUCAAAGACGACGUGAAAAUGGCGUGGCAUAUCCAUACAUGGGCACAAGACGCCAUUUUCAGGCCGUCUUUGACGUCCGCGUCCUCGAUCUAAAUCUGUCUAUUGUUAUAUCAUGAAUGUAUCGGAAUUGUUGGAACAACCUUGCAACAAGUCUGAUAGUAUAAACAAGGUUGUUACAAGUUGUUAACAGCUUGCUCCAAGCUUGGACUUGUCGACAACUUGGGACAAGCACUGCGAACAUAACUUGUUGACGGCUUGUUGGCAGACUUGCUACAAGAUGUGAGAUUUUUACGCGUGUUUAGGUUUUGACCACUGAAAUCACCGAUCCUAAUCUUUUCAACUAGGGCUUGCAGAGAGCUCGGAGCAAUUUUCCGUACCCAAUACGUGGCAUUGAUUUUGUAUUAGUUAUAUAUAAAGUAUAACGUAUUUGUUCCAAAGUUGAUAUGAUAUUUAACGAAUGCUUGUGUCAUCUGUGCUGUCAUAAUUGACAUAGAAUAUCAUAAUUCUCAUGCAGCAUGAGCAGUUCUAAAAAAAAAUACUAAAAAAGAAAACCCUACCUAAGUUUUUGCAAGAAGAAUUAGGAAACCCAGGUAUUUUUUGCCUUAAUUGAGCUGAAAAAGGUCAAAUAUACUGUGUAUAAAUAAAGUAACUUAAUUAAUUGAAGAGUCUGGAAAGAUCAGUGUGUAGUUAAACCUGACUGUCGAAUAAUAUAUUAUUAUAGUAUUAAAAACCAGAUAUAAAUAUAUAAAUAUACUAGUAAGUAGAUUUAAUUAAAAUUGCUUCGUUAUGUAAGUAUAACAACG